GAUGAACGCUGACAGAAUGCUUAACACAUGCAAGUCAACUUGAAUUUGGGUUUUUACCUUAGGUUUGGGUGGCGGACGGGUGAGUAACGCGUAAAGAACUUGCCUCACAGCUAGGGACAACAUUUGGAAACGAAUGCUAAUACCUAAUAUUAUGAUAAUAGGGCAUCCUAUAAUUAUGAAAGCUAUAAGCGCUGUGAGAGAGCUUUGCGUCCCAUUAGCUAGUUGGAGAGGUAACGGCUCACCAAGGCGAUGAUGGGUAGCCGGCCUGAGAGGGUGAUCGGCCACAAGGGGACUGAGACACGGCCCUUACUCCUACGGGAGGCAGCAGUGGGGAAUAUGGGACAAUGGACCGAGAGUCUGAUCCAGCAAUUCUGUGUGCACGAUGAAGUUUUUCGGAAUGUAAAGUGCUUUCAGUUGGGAAGAAACAAAUGACGGUACCAACAGAAGAAGUGACGGCUAAAUACGUG
Molecule: ribosomal RNA, 467 nt
Filed under: uncultured bacterium
Lineage: Bacteria
Description: partial 16S ribosomal RNA
Rfam family: Bacterial small subunit ribosomal RNA
Source: RNAcentral